Molecule: ribosomal RNA, 253 nt
Filed under: uncultured bacterium
Lineage: Bacteria
Description: partial 16S ribosomal RNA
Rfam family: Bacterial small subunit ribosomal RNA
Source: RNAcentral
UACGAAGGGAGCUAGCGUUGCUCGGAAUUACUGGGCGUAAAGCGCACGUAGGCGGAUUGUUAAGUCGGGGGUGAAAUCCUGGAGCUCAACUCCAGAACUGCCUUCGAUACUGGCGAUCUCGAGUUCGGGAGAGGUGAGUGGAACUGCGAGUGUAGAGGUGAAAUUCGUAGAUAUUCGCAAGAACACCAGUGGCGAAGGCGGCUCACUGGCCCGAUACUGACGCUGAGGUGCGAAAGCGUGGGGAGCAAACAGG